This 253-nucleotide ribosomal RNA is filed under the name uncultured bacterium. RNAcentral's name for it is "partial 16S ribosomal RNA". It matches the Rfam family "Bacterial small subunit ribosomal RNA", at positions 524 to 776 of the family's 1533-position model. The record is from RNAcentral.
UACGGGGGGGGCAAGCGUUGUUCGGAUUUACUGGGCGUAAAGGGCGCGUAGGCGGCGUGGUAAGUCACUUGUGAAAUCUCUGAGCUUAACUCAGAACGGCCAAGUGAUACUGCUGUGCUAGAGUGCAGAAGGGGCAAUCGGAAUUCUUGGUGUAGCGGUGAAAUGCGUAGAUAUCAAGAGGAACACCUGAGGUGAAGACGGGUUGCUGGGCUGACACUGACGCUGAUGCGCGAAAGCCAGGGGAGCAAACGGG